Molecule: long non-coding RNA, 1147 nt
Organism: Cyprinus carpio (common carp)
Lineage: Eukaryota; Metazoa; Chordata; Actinopteri; Cypriniformes; Cyprinidae
Source: Ensembl
ACGGGAUUUAGUUACAAGCAAACACUUUAUAAUAGGGUGGCAUUGGACCAAAGGGUGUUCGAGGCAGAGCAGGGACUCAAGGAAGAGAUGGAGAGAAAGGUCCAGAUGGGGUGACAGGAUCUCCAGGGGUUCCUGGCCUACAGGGUCCUCGCGGGUACAAAGGUGACACAGCGCCCCCCGGUGAGAAAGGAGAUGAGGUACAGUAUGAGGAUACAUGAUAUUCUGAAAUGCACGACCCUGUAACUGUCUCAUACAGGAUUAUAAUAUACUUAAUAUAGCAUAAAGCAGUUUUUCUGCCUCCAUGAGCAGGGUUUUCCUGGUGCUCCUGGCCUCAGAGGAGACAAAGGACAGACUGGCCUGAAGGGUUCAAAAGGAGAAAUUGGAUUUACUGGCUUUUCUGGUCCUCCAGUGAGUAAAUCACUUCAUAUUCUUGAACUACUAGUUUUAAACAUUAUUACUAGUAACUGGUGUGUCCUUUCUUAUAUUGUAGUAAAUAUUAUGCAUGAAUGGUUUUCUUUUGUUUUCUUUUCUUUUAAGGGACCGGUUGGUUUACAAGGUGUUCAAGGGAUUCCUGGACCACCUGGUCCUAAGGUGAUUGAUUUAACUGACAAUUUAUUUUUGUGUGUUUUAACAUUGAUCUUGACAGUAUAAAGAAUUUUGUUUUCAUAGGGAGAUCCAGGAAAUGAUGGAAAACGUGGUCCUCCAGGGACAGUGGUGAGUCAUAAAUCUUGAGUCAUAAAUCAUGCCACUAUAAAUCGUGACACUUGUGAAAACUUGAAAAAUAUAAAGUUCUUCAAACUGUGUUUCUUCUAAGUAUAACUAACUACUGUAUAUCUAACUAUAAAGUGGAUAUUUAUUUAUAGCCAAAAAGAAAAUCCAUUUGGGAAAACCGAAUUGGGGACAGUGAUAACUUCUUAUUAACAGAGAAAUCACCCUUAACCUGGUGUUUAUGGAUACUGCUUAAUAAUGCUCAGUUAUGUGUUUGUGUCUUGCCAGGGAGCACCAGGUGCUACAGGAUUGGUUGGUGCACAAGGUGUUAAUGGCUCAGAAGUAAGUAAUUGCCUACUACAAAUUUAGUAAGCAAGUGUCAAUUUCAUUGGUUGAAGCAAUAGACUACCCAAAAAUAAAGAUUGUUAUCAUUUGUACA